GGAUUAGAUACCCUAUUAUUUGAGAUGUAAAUUAUUUAACUUAGGUAGUAUUAGUUAAGGUCUUGAAACUUAAAGAAUUUGGCGGUAUUUUAGUCUAUUUAGAGGAAUCUGUCCCUUAAUCGAUAAUCCACGCUGAACCUUACCAAGUUUUAUAUAUGUAUACCGCCGUUAUCAAUGAUGAUCUUUUUAGAGUUUAAUAAUUUUCUGGAUUUUCUUUUAAAAUUUAUUUCAGGUCAAGGUGCAGUUUAUAAUUUGGUGGUGAUGGAUUACAUUUAUUUUUAUUAUUUGGAUUAUUUUAUGUAAUAUUUGAAAUAUGAAAGUGGAUUUAAUUGUAAUUUUUUGUAGACUGUAAAAAUGAUUUUAGCUCUAUAAUAUGUACACAUCGCCCGUCACUCUCAUUAAUUUAGUUGAGAUAAGUC
Molecule: ribosomal RNA, 419 nt
Filed under: Drymaplaneta cf. semivitta DJGI-2006
Lineage: Eukaryota; Metazoa; Arthropoda; Insecta; Blattodea; Blattidae
Description: partial 12S ribosomal RNA
Source: RNAcentral